This 253-nucleotide ribosomal RNA is filed under the name uncultured bacterium. Its description in RNAcentral is "partial 16S ribosomal RNA". It matches the Rfam family "Bacterial small subunit ribosomal RNA", at positions 524 to 776 of the family's 1533-position model. The record is from RNAcentral.
UACGAAGGGGGCUAGCGUUGCUCGGAUUGACUGGGCGUAAAGGGCGCGUAGGCGGUUCGUACAGUCAGACGUGAAAUUCCUGGGCUCAACCUGGGGGCUGCGUUUGAUACGUGCGGACUUGAGUGCGGAAGAGGGUCGUGGAAUUCCCAGUGUAGAGGUGAAAUUCGUAGAUAUUGGGAAGAACAUCGGUGGCGAAGGCGGCGACCUGGUCCGAUACUGACGCUGAGGCGCGAAAGCGUGGGGAGCAAACAGG